Molecule: ribosomal RNA, 710 nt
Filed under: uncultured bacterium
Lineage: Bacteria
Description: bacterial SSU rRNA
Rfam family: Bacterial small subunit ribosomal RNA
Source: RNAcentral
UGGAAUGCGCAGAUAUCAGGAGGAACACCGAUGGCGAAGGCAGAUCUCUGGGCCGUGACUGACGCUGAGGAGCGAAAGGGUGGGGAGCAAACAGGCUUAGAUACCCUGGUAGUCCACCCCGUAAACGUUGGGAACUAGUUGUGGGGGCCUUUCCACGGUCUCCGUGACGCAGCUAACGCAUUAAGUUCCCCGCCUGGGGAGUACGGCCGCAAGGCUAAAACUCAAAGGAAUUGACGGGGACCCGCACAAGCGGCGGAGCAUGCGGAUUAAUUCGAUGCAACGCGAAGAACCUUACCAAGGCUUGACAUACACCGGAAACGUCCAGAGAUGGUCGCCCCUUUUUGGUCGGUGUACAGGUGGUGCAUGGUUGUCGUCAGCUCGUGUCGUGAGAUGUUGGGUUAAGUCCCGCAACGAGCGCAACCCUCGUUCUAUGUUGCCAGCACGUUAUGGUGGGAACUCAUGGGAUACUGCCGGGGUCAACUCGGAGGAAGGUGGGGAUGACGUCAAAUCAUCAUGCCCCUUAUGUCUUGGGCUUCACGCAUGCUACAAUGGCCGGUACAAUGGGCUGCGAUACCGUGAGGUGGAGCGAAUCCCAAAAAGCCGGUCCCAGUUCGGAUCGUAGUCUGCAACUCGACUACGUGAAGUCGGAGUCGCUAGUAAUCGCAGAUCAGCAACGCUGCGGUGAAUACGUUCCCGGGUCUUGUACACAC